GGCGGGGUAGCUCAGUUGGUUAGAGCGCGGCACACAUAACGCCGAGGUCGAGAGUCCGAUUCUCUCCCCCGCUACCA
Molecule: transfer RNA, 77 nt
Filed under: Candidatus Magasanikiibacteriota bacterium
Lineage: Bacteria; Candidatus Magasanikiibacteriota
Description: Candidatus Magasanikbacteria bacterium tRNA-Met
Rfam family: tRNA
About the family: Transfer RNA (tRNA) molecules are approximately 80 nucleotides in length. Their secondary structure includes four short double-helical elements and three loops (D, anti-codon, and T loops). Further hydrogen bonds mediate the characteristic L-shaped molecular structure. tRNAs have two regions of fundamental functional importance: the anti-codon, which is responsible for specific mRNA codon recognition, and the 3' end, to which the tRNAs corresponding amino acid is attached (by aminoacyl-tRNA synthetases). tRNAs cope with the degeneracy of the genetic code in two manners: having more than one tRNA (with a specific anti-codon) for a particular amino acid; and 'wobble' base-pairing, i.e. permitting non-standard base-pairing at the 3rd anti-codon position.
Source: RNAcentral